UACCUGCAGGUCGAGUGGUGGCCGCUAUUAUUGGGCCUAAAACGUCCGUAGCCGGUUUAUCAAAUGCCUGGGUAAAUCGGGCCGCUUAACGGUUCGAAUUCCGGGUAGACUGAUAAACUUGAGACCGGGGGAAGUUGGAGGUACUCCUGGGGUAGGGGUGAAAUCCUGUAAUCCUAGGGGGACCACCGGUGGCGAAGGCGUCCAACUAGAACGGGUCUGACGGUGAGGGACGAAGCCCUGGGGAGCAAACGGG
This 253-nucleotide ribosomal RNA is filed under the name uncultured microorganism. Its description in RNAcentral is "partial 16S ribosomal RNA". It matches the Rfam family "Archaeal small subunit ribosomal RNA", at positions 474 to 727 of the family's 1478-position model. The record is from RNAcentral.